This 253-nucleotide ribosomal RNA is filed under the name uncultured bacterium. RNAcentral's name for it is "partial 16S ribosomal RNA". It matches the Rfam family "Bacterial small subunit ribosomal RNA", at positions 524 to 776 of the family's 1533-position model. The record is from RNAcentral.
UACGAAGGGGGCUAGCGUUGCUCGGAAUCACUGGGCGUAAAGGGUUCGUAGGCGGGUCUUUAAGUCAGGGGUGAAAUCCUGGAGCUCAACUCCAGAACUGCCUUUGAUACUGAAGAUCUUGAGUUCGGGAGAGGUGAGUGGAACUGCGAGUGUAGAGGUGAAAUUCGUAGAUAUUCGCAAGAACACCCGUGGCGAAGGCGGCUCUCUGGGACGGUACUGACGCUGAGACGCGAAAGCGUGGGGAGCGAACAGG